RNAcentral lists this ribosomal RNA (1129 nucleotides) under Klebsiella pneumoniae. RNAcentral describes it as "bacterial SSU rRNA". It matches the Rfam family "Bacterial small subunit ribosomal RNA", at positions 1 to 1124 of the family's 1533-position model. Lineage: Bacteria; Pseudomonadati; Pseudomonadota; Gammaproteobacteria; Enterobacterales; Enterobacteriaceae. The record is from RNAcentral.
UUGAAGAGUUUGAUCAUGGCUCAGAUUGAACGCUGGCGGCAGGCCUAACACAUGCAAGUCGAGCGGUAGCACAGAGAGCUUGCUCUCGGGUGACGAGCGGCGGACGGGUGAGUAAUGUCUGGGAAACUGCCUGAUGGAGGGGGAUAACUACUGGAAACGGUAGCUAAUACCGCAUAAUGUCGCAAGACCAAAGUGGGGGACCUUCGGGCCUCAUGCCAUCAGAUGUGCCCAGAUGGGAUUAGCUAGUAGGUGGGGUAACGGCUCACCUAGGCGACGAUCCCUAGCUGGUCUGAGAGGAUGACCAGCCACACUGGAACUGAGACACGGUCCAGACUCCUACGGGAGGCAGCAGUGGGGAAUAUUGCACAAUGGGCGCAAGCCUGAUGCAGCCAUGCCGCGUGUGUGAAGAAGGCCUUCGGGUUGUAAAGCACUUUCAGCGGGGAGGAAGGCGUUAAGGUUAAUAACCUUGGCGAUUGACGUUACCCGCAGAAGAAGCACCGGCUAACUCCGUGCCAGCAGCCGCGGUAAUACGGAGGGUGCAAGCGUUAAUCGGAAUUACUGGGCGUAAAGCGCACGCAGGCGGUCUGUCAAGUCGGAUGUGAAAUCCCCGGGCUCAACCUGGGAACUGCAUUCGAAACUGGCAGGCUAGAGUCUUGUAGAGGGGGGUAGAAUUCCAGGUGUAGCGGUGAAAUGCGUAGAGAUCUGGAGGAAUACCGGUGGCGAAGGCGGCCCCCUGGACAAAGACUGACGCUCAGGUGCGAAAGCGUGGGGAGCAAACAGGAUUAGAUACCCUGGUAGUCCACGCCGUAAACGAUGUCGAUUUGGAGGUUGUGCCCUUGAGGCGUGGCUUCCGGAGCUAACGCGUUAAAUCGACCGCCUGGGGAGUACGGCCGCAAGGUUAAAACUCAAAUGAAUUGACGGGGGCCCGCACAAGCGGUGGAGCAUGUGGUUUAAUUCGAUGCAACGCGAAGAACCUUACCUGGUCUUGACAUCCACAGAACUUUCCAGAGAUGGAUUGGUGCCUUCGGGAACUGUGAGACAGGUGCUGCAUGGCUGUCGUCAGCUCGUGUUGUGAAAUGUUGGGUUAAGUCCCGCAACGAGCGCAACCCUUAUCCUUUGUUGCCAGCGG